Long non-coding RNA from Cervus elaphus (red deer), 1143 nucleotides. RefSeq lists it as uncharacterized. The record is from RefSeq and is a predicted model, not a curated record. Lineage: Eukaryota; Metazoa; Chordata; Mammalia; Artiodactyla; Cervidae. The transcript is spliced from 5 exons.
CUGAUCCAGGGAUCGAGCCUGAGUCUCUUGCAUCUCCUGCAUUGGCAGAAUGCCUCUGCAAUUUGUGCAUUUUCAGAGGGCCCCAGGCCAUUUCCAUCUGUCCCACCUUUUCCAGCCAUGUUCUCAGCAGCGAAUCAGAAUACAGCCAAUUUUUGACACUCCCAGUAUGACUUGUCUCGGUCUAGCUGAAUCUUGGAGCCAGUCUGGUAAAGUCAGCUUUCCAGUGUGAUGAUGGAAGAUGAUGGCUUGAUGAGUAACUCCUGCCAGAUAGAGAACCAUCAACUGUUCCAUUCAUUCACUUAAAAAGUUUUAAGAACAAAGAUUGUGAGACUUGUGGAAAAAGAAGACAAAGAACAGAGCCCACCUUUGGGUCUGCAUUUUGGCCAUUGAUACGAAGAGAAGUAUGAGGAAGAAAAAAGAAGAUAACAGAAGAAAAUAAAGGGGCCAGGACAGGUUAAAAAGAUAUAAAGAGAUUUAGACAGCAAGGAAGAGAAGACCAGACAUUAAAUAAUUGAAAAAGAAAGGACUGUACAACUGCAGACCAGACGUGCCUACAGAGAAAGUCAGAGAGAGAGAGAAAGCCACAGAAAACCAAAAUACUAUUCACAGAAAUAGAGCGGUUCCCUGAGGACAAGCACUGUGUCUUUUUGUUUCUAUUUUCCCCAGAACCAAACACAGUGCCUGACGUAGAGCAAGCACUUAAGAAAUAGUUGUUGACUGUAUAAAUGAACAAAUGAGACAGGCGCAUGGAAGGCAACAGAAAGAAAGAAGUCUGUGUAGUGACCAAGCACAGGUGGACGUAGGUUCUGAUCUUGGCUUCGUAUCUUCAGAUUUGUGUCAUUUGGGGGUAAUGCACUCAUUACUUUUUAAAUAUUUUUGUGUCCCAGUACUUUAAUAUGUCAAACAAAAUUCUGUUCCAGGUAUUUCACUAUUUUGUUCCUAUCUCCAAACUACCCUUCCAUGUUCUGCUCUGUGUCUCUGGGGCUGCAGCUUUGCAGAUCACACUCUGGCUUUGCCAACUGGCUGAGAAGGAAGAAGGGGUUUGCUCCUCCCCUCUGCUUCCUGUUGAGCGUCCUUUCCCCCAGAACUUCAUCACAGCAGUGGCAGUUCUUUCCUAUAGCAGCAACUAAACUCACUUUGCCA